UCCAUCAGAUAAUUUACUUUGAUUGGAACUUUGUUGUCCCUUGAACAUCAUGUGAAUUUUUCUUGUUGAUGUUGAUAAUAUACUAUGAUAUCUGUGAUCAGUGGGAAUCUUUGAUGAUCAUAGUGUGUUAUUUAAUUCUGAAGCUACCAGUCUAGUUUUUAUAAUGAUACCAGAUUAAUCCAUAGAAACUGUGUUAUAAUGACAAUACUUUCAUUUCUAGUGUGUUUGGAGAUUCUAAAUCGCUGACUUUCCUUGAUAAUCGUUUCCUUCUAUACAUAAUGUAUCUAAUGUCUGAAAUAAUGGUGAUAGGACUUAUGUCUUCCCUCUGGUAGUAUUGUCUCAAGCUAAUAAUCACAUAAGUUGCAAGAGCAACAGUCGAUGUGCCACCUGUCAAAAGGAAAAGUGACCAGAAGGUACUAAGACCCAAACUUCCGUAUUCAUCAUGGAUUGUGUCCUGAUCUACACAUUCCUCUGAACCAAGCAUUCUUUUCUCUAAAUCUCGGAGAGUGCCACUUUCAGACACAUUUAGUAGCGCCUUUGUAAAAUCAGGAACCAUUGGAGAACCUUUCGGAAGUACCUGCAGUUAGAGGGACAAUUAACUAGACAUGUAUGACUAGAGGUUGUAAAAUUGGUAGGUCGGGUUGUGACUUUGGCCAAGGUAACCCGGAGCUAAACAAGACCUUAUAUAAGCCAAGCUCGAACUAAUUAAUUCAUGUAUUGUGACAAGCAUCCAUGACACAACUAGAAAACAUAUUAUCACCCACCGCUGUUAUCCGUAGUAAAUCUACAUCUAUAUAUCCCAGGUAAAUAAAUCAAAAUAAUAAAAAAAAACUAUGAGCAUCCGUUGACCAACAGGUUGGGUAUCAUGUCAAAUGAGGUCAAGUUUAAACAUGUAAUUCUACUAUACGGGUCAAAAACAAGUUGGGUUGACCCAAAAGAGUUACGUCCAAAACUUUUAAAUCGUUUAUAAACAUUUGGUACAUCAAAGAAGAUGACAUAAAUUAUAUUAUAUGUUAAAAAUAACAUAAUUUUUUGAAUAGACUAUCAAAAUAGUUUUAUGCAUUAGAAUUAGACUUUUCGCAACUUUCAACUAUUUGAUCGUUUCCGCCCAUUUCAAUUAUUUUUACUCCUUUUAUGUUCCCCUUUGGGACAAAUCAUAAAUCUUGAUACAUAAAUGUGUUACUAUUUUAGAUAACAAUGCAGAAAAAUCAAAAGAUCAAAUGGCAAAAGUCUUACAAAUCCAAAUCCCCCAUCCCUGAAUGUAGUCCCGGCUGUGGUGAAGCUCUUGCAGUACUUGGCAAGAAAUAGUUUAGUUAAAGGAGUCUCAAGAAAAACUGCUGCUAUGUGUCUGUUUUUAAGGGCAUAAGCAUAUUCUUCUGGAGAAGUAAAGUUUCUUAGAUUUUCACUCUUGAAACCCAAGACAUCUUCCAAAUACCUGGCCACAUGUGACCCUUUACUGUACCCCACAACAGCAUUUGAAUUCUUCAACGCCUCAUAAUCAGUAACUUGAGGUUUCAACCUUCUAAUAGUGAGCAUACUGGUGAGGCUGGCUGUAUAACACUGACCAAUUAUUAUUGCAGCAAAGAUCCAUGCCACUGUAGUCAUUCUUGUCAAAUUGCUAUGAACUUCAUCAGCUGAGUUUUUAGAGAAUGUUCUUGUAAAGGCUAAAGAUAGAAGAAUUCCGGUUUGAUUCAUAACGGAUCCUUGAAGUUCAGGACUGUGUUUCCUUUCAAUCAAAUAUAUCACCAAGGCAUUAUAAAUAUUGAAAAGAAUUGU
This 1776-nucleotide long non-coding RNA is filed under the name Helianthus annuus (common sunflower). Its description in RNAcentral is "hypothetical non coding rna". The record is from RNAcentral. Lineage: Eukaryota; Viridiplantae; Streptophyta; Magnoliopsida; Asterales; Asteraceae.